GAGAGCGAGGCGAGAGAGAGAUCCUCAGUGUUCGGCUGAAAGCCAUCGGCUGGGGACGACACCGCGUCGUUCCCAGUGCUCGCUUGAUAACUUGACCACAAAUACUCCCUGGACUGGGUCUGUGGCACUCCCUCAGAUCCUGUAACUCUGACCAUCUUGUGGACAGUUUUUAUUUCUACAUUUAACUGUGCCGUGGACUGCCCGUGAAGAUCAACGCGACGUGUAUUUGGGGCAGACCUAACCCCAUCAUGAUUGGCACAACCAACUGCAGCAUCAACAUUGGAUUUAUCUGCCCUCGGACUCGUUAAGAGCGAGUGAAAUACAUCUCAACAAAUGUGGCUACACUCGCGAAUUUUAAAUAUAUUUUUUUAAAUUUUUUAAGUAUUUUUUUUUUGUUUUGUUUGCAACUUAAGUGCGUGCCAGUGUGGUUAGGGUACCCUUCUCGAUGCUGUGCGAGUGUGCGUCCAAGUGCUGAUUGCCGAUGGUGUGGGCGCGGAGUGCGGAGGCCGCUGCACCCCAAUCUGUGUGAAUGUGACCGGUGGCAGAACCAACAAGAAGCCAGCCAGUGCCAGUGCGUCGCGUCGUCUGCGUCCGCGGCCGUUUGAUGGCGGUGGUCGGGCCCUCGCGCCACACUCGGCACUCCAUGUCGGUGUCUAUGAUGCAAGGGGGCGGGGGUGGUGCCCAACACCAACAGGCUAUCCUGGCGGCGGCCCAGCCCUUCUACCAUCCUCAGCCUUCGUCCCACCAGCCAGCCACCCCUGCUGCUCACACGCAGGAUGUCCAGCCGGACAGGCCCAUUGGAUAUGGAGCCUUCGGAGUAGUAUGGGCUGUGACGGAUCCCCGUGACGGCCGCCGGGUCGCCCUCAAGAAGCUGCCCAAUGUCUUCCAUUCCCUGGUCUCGUCGAAGAGGGUCUUCCGGGAGCUCAAGAUGCUCUGUUUCUUCAAGCACGAGAAUGUCCUUUCCGCCCUGGACAUCCUGCAGCCGCCACACCUCGACUUCUUCCAAGAAAUCUAUGUCAUCACGGAACUGCUGCAGAGCGACUUGCACAAAAUCAUCGUGUCACCCCAGCACCUAUCUGCUGACCACAUCAAAGUAUUCCUGUAUCAAAUUUUAAGAGGUCUGAAGUAUUUGAGUUCAGCACGCAUUUUGCACCGUGAUAUCAAGCCCGGCAAUCUUCUGGUCAACAGCAAUUGUGUGCUGAAGAUCUGCGACUUCGGCCUGGCGCGCGUGGAGGAGCCCGACCAGAUGAAGCACAUGACGCAGGAGGUGGUGACGCAGUACUACCGGGCGCCGGAAAUCCUGAUGGGCGCGCGGCACUACUCGUCCGCCGUGGACGUGUGGAGCGUGGGCUGCAUAUUCGGCGAGCUGCUGGGCCGCCGGAUCCUCUUCCAGGCGCAGAACCCCGUCCAACAGCUGGAGCUCAUCACGGAGCUGCUGGGCACGCCGUCGCUGGAGGACAUGCGCUACGCGUGCGACGGCGCCCGCUCCCACAUGCUGCGGCGGCCCCACAAGCCGCCCUCGCUGUCGGCGCUCUACAUGCUGUCCUCGCAGGCCACGCACGAGGCCGUGCACCUGCUGUGCCAGAUGCUCGUCUUCGAUCCGGACAAGAGGAUCACCGUGAUGGACGCGUUGGCGCACCCGUACCUGGACGAGGGCCGCCUGCGGUACCACUCGUGCAUGUGCAAGUGCUGCUUCACGACGCGCGACGGCAUGCGCCAGUACACGACGGACUUCGAGCCGGUCGCCAGCAGCUCCUUCGACGACGUCUGGGAGAGGAAGUUGUCGUCUGUGCAGCAGGUCAAAGAGGAGAUGCACAAGUUCAUCGCAGAGCAGCUCAAUACGAACAGGGUGCCCUUGUGCAUUAACCCUCAAUCUGCUGCGUUCAAGAGUUUUGCAAGGUAAGGCGGUAAGGGGCCGUCUGGACUGCGGCCAGUGCCAGUGGGCCUUGGGCCUUGGCUGGGCCUUGGCUGGGCCGCGCGGGGUGAUCCAGCCUGCAGCCAAGCCCAGAGCCCAAGCCAGCCCAGGCCCUAGAGCCCAGGGCCGUGAUGGCCACUCAUCCACGCCGCCGUGCGCCGUGCCCAGAGCCACACUACCACCGCCACGUAACCGCAAGCCGCAACGUCCACGACCAUCCCUUACUACCUUCUUUGUCGUUCAAUACUCACAAGUGGAGAUUUCGUCUUCAGCAAAUUUGGUUCAUCUGUCGCGCACCCUGCCGAGCUGCCGCCCUCUCCCCAGCAGUGGGAAUGACAAAGGGCCCCCGGUGGCCUGCGUGUGCGCCAAGUGUAGGGCCUGCCUGGUCCCAGCUCGCCCUACCACGGCCGGCCUGCCUCCUCGCUCCUCGCUCCUCGCCGGGCUGGGCGAUGCAGGCCGCACCACGUCGCUUCCGGAACGCCCCCGUGGGCUUAGCCUGUGGCCAUAGCCUGGCCGUAGCCCCCUUGGCCCUUUCGCCGGCCCUCCCCGC
RNAcentral lists this unclassified non-coding RNA (2465 nucleotides) under Thrips palmi. RNAcentral describes it as "serine/threonine-protein kinase NLK, transcript variant X1". Lineage: Eukaryota; Metazoa; Arthropoda; Insecta; Thysanoptera; Thripidae. The record is from RNAcentral.